RNAcentral lists this ribosomal RNA (1341 nucleotides) under uncultured bacterium. RNAcentral's name for it is "partial 16S ribosomal RNA". It matches the Rfam family "Bacterial small subunit ribosomal RNA", at positions 28 to 1381 of the family's 1533-position model. The record is from RNAcentral.
GACGAACGCUGGCGGCGUGCUUAACACAUGCAAGUCGAACGGUAAGGCUCCAGCUUGCUGGGGUACACGAGUGGCGAACGGGUGAGUAACACGUGGGUGACCUGCCCUGCACUUCGGGAUAAGCCUGGGAAACUGGGUCUAAUACCGGAUAGGACUGCACCGUGAGGGUGUGGUGGAAAGUUUUUUCGGUGUGGGAUGGGCCCGCGGCCUAUCAGCUUGUUGGUGGGGUAAUGGCCUACCAAGGCGGCGACGGGUAGCCGGCCUGAGAGGGUGGACGGCCACAUUGGGACUGAGACACGGCCCAGACUCCUACGGGAGGCAGCAGUGGGGAAUAUUGCACAAUGGGCGGAAGCCUGAUGCAGCGACGCCGCGUGGGGGAUGACGGCCUUCGGGUUGUAAACUCCUUUCACCAUCGACGAAGGGUUUCUGACGGUAGAUGGAGAAGAAGCACCGGCUAACUACGUGCCAGCAGCCGCGGUAAUACGUAGGGUGCGAGCGUUGUCCGGAAUUACUGGGCGUAAAGAGCUCGUAGGUGGUUUGUCGCGUCGUCUGUGAAAUUCCGGGGCUUAACUCCGGGCGUGCAGGCGAUACGGGCAUAACUUGAGUACUGUAGGGGAGACUGGAAUUCCUGGUGUAGCGGUGAAAUGCGCAGAUAUCAGGAGGAACACCGGUGGCGAAGGCGGGUCUCUGGGCAGUAACUGACGCUGAGGAGCGAAAGCAUGGGGAGCGAACAGGAUUAGAUAUCCUGGUAGUCCAUGCCGUAAACGGUGGGCGCUAGGUGUGGGUUUCCUUCCACGGGAUCCGUGCCGUAGCUAACGCAUUAAGCGCCCCGCCUGGGGAGUACGGCCGCAAGGCUAAAACUCAAAGGAAUUGACGGGGGCCCGCACAAGCGGCGGAGCAUGUGGAUUAAUUCGAUGCAACGCGAAGAGCCUUACCUGGGCUUGACAUAUACAGGAUCGCGCCAGAGAUGGUGUUUCCCUUGUGGCUUGUAUACAGGUGGUGCAUGGUUGUCGUCAGCUCGUGUCGUGAGAUGUUGGGUUAAGUCCCGCAACGAGCGCAACCCUUGUCUUAUGUUGCCAGCACGUUGUGGUGGGGACUCGUAAGAAACUGCCGGGGUUAACUCGGAGGAAGGUGGGGAUGACGUCAAAUCAUCAUGCCCCUUAUGUCCAGGGCUUCACACAUGCUACAAUGGUCGGUACAGUGGGUUGCCAGUCCGUGAGGGCGAGCUAAUCCCGCAAAGCCGGUCUCAGUUCGGAUCGGGGUCUGCAACUCGACCCCGUGAAGUCGGAGUCGCUAGUAAUCGCAGAUCAGCAACGCUGCGGUGAAUACGUUCCCGGGCCU